This is a long non-coding RNA of Diceros bicornis minor, 607 nucleotides long. RefSeq lists it as uncharacterized. The record is from RefSeq and is a predicted model, not a curated record. The transcript has 3 exons. NCBI's taxonomy places the organism in Eukaryota, Metazoa, Chordata, Mammalia, Perissodactyla, Rhinocerotidae.
CAGCUGCAGGAGCUGGAGGACAUUUUCCGUCGCACUCCGUACCCCGACGUGCUCACUCGAGAGGAGAUUGCAGGACGGCUGAAUUUGACUGAGGGCAGAGUGCAGGUUUGGUUUCAGAACAGAAGGGCCAAGUGGAGAAGAGACCAGAGGGCACUGAUGUUAAGAAAUCUGGCCCCCGUCGCCAUGGGUCCCCCUGUGGGGGUAGUCCUUGAUGGGCUCUAUCCUGCAGUCCCUGUUCUAGAGCCUGCAUGGAGAUGGGUUCCUCUAGUGCAACUAGUGCCACCUGGGCCAGUCCCACUACCUAUGGUACCCGAGCCGCCUCUGCCACCCGGGCCACCCGCGAUGCCUGUGCCACUCCCACCAGCUGCACCUCCCUUUGCUCUGGCCCCUGUAGGUGUGGUAUGGGCCCCUGUUGUCAACGGUCCUUACGCAGGCCCCAUUUUCUGAAGUAUGGUCUUCAUGACAAUUUUUCCAAAGUAUUUUUCUGCCAGAUAUGAAUUGUGCACGGCACAUCAAGAGUUAUUCAUCAAAUACCUGUUAAAUGAAUUGAAUAAAUGAACAAAAUCAGUGCCUAUUGUUUUUGUAGGGCACAUUGUAUUUUCAAUAA